Long non-coding RNA from Equus asinus (donkey), 3574 nucleotides. Lineage: Eukaryota; Metazoa; Chordata; Mammalia; Perissodactyla; Equidae. The record is from Ensembl.
ACAUUUAUAAACAUUUUUAUAUGUUCCCUUCCAGUCAGUUUUCUAUACACAUGUAUACAUUUUUUCCUAUUACAAAACAGGGAUCAUACGAAAAUUCUCAAUUGUACCUUUUUUAUGCUGAAGACAGUCUUGAAGAAGCCCACCUGUAGGUAGCAGGAGAUGGAGAAGGGUUUGUUAGAGAGUAAGCAGAGGCCAUGAGAGGUAAAUAUUGGGGACAGUAAGUGCGGAAAGAAUUUCAAGAAGUCACCAAAUGCUUCUGAGAGGUCAGAUGUGAUGGAGAAGUAAGCAGCAGUGGCAUUUAAUAAUGAGAUGUUCAUUUGCGUUAUUUGAGCGCAGGCCAGUACAAUGGGGGGAUCAGAUCUAGGCUCUGAGUGUUAAGGAGUCCGGGACAGUGAGGAAGGAGAGGGAGCAAGUACGAGGUGCGUUUCCCAUCCGUUUGGUUGGGGAGUGUAAGGAGAGAGGAAGGACUGUGCCAUUUAGAGGAUUUUUCGAGGUUGAGAAUCUCUGAGAGGUGAAGGAUCGACUGCUGAGUGAGAGAGUGAUUGAUGUUCAGGAAGGAGGAUCAUUGAUGCAAGACUCAGAGCAAGUGGGACGCAGAGAGAUCAAGGGCAGGCACACGGAGCAGAGGGAGCAAGCAGUUAUUCGGGUGGGGACUGGGAGCGUUUGGGGAAAGGUGUGCCCAACGGAGCUGUUCCUCCCAGAGAGAAUGUUCCUUCCCCUUCCUGCUAUCUGCUUCCUUACGUCUCUCAGGUUCUGCAUAAGACAGAUGGGCUCAGAAUCGUCACUGAGGUCUGGGUAAGUGUGGACUCAGCAGCUGAGGCAGCCUGAAGUCACUGUCCACCUGGAGAGCUGGGUCAGAAGAUGGAGGCAGAGACAAAUAUCCCGUGUCUCUGUUUAGCCUUAUUUCAGGUCAGUGGGUAUGAUUUUACCUGAGGCAUUUGCUUUGAGUCUUUACCAAACACUGUGGAAUCGCAUUACCACUGAUCUAGGCAUUCUCAGACAUCACCGGAAGUUCCUGUCCGCGGAGGCGGGCCCAGGGCAGGGGCAGGCGCGGCCAUGGGCGGUACCUGGAGCCUGCGCGGGCUCCGCCCACAAGCCGGUGGCUGCUAGUGCGCAGGCGCCAGAUGGAGUGCACGCAUGGGACAGGGAGGACGCAGAGGCGGGCCUAAUGCCCGCUCGAGGAGGCGGGGUCACAGACUGAGGGGCGGGGCCGGAACCAGAGGGGCGGGGCCGAGGUCCCAAGGCUAGUCUUGGGCGAAAGUCAGGGACCAAGGGAGGAGCCCAGGACGCCUGACUCUAUAUGUUGAGGGUGGAGCCCGUUUCCGGUGGAGAGGGGAGAGUUCCAGUGCUCUGGAGCUGAAGAGUGUGCCUGGUGCGUGCCCUUCCUAGUUCCUCAGAGGACCCUUGGCCUCUGGAUGCCCCUUGUGUGAGGUUGUGAGAACACAUUUUCCUGCUUAUUCAUGCAUCUCUCAGCCAGACAUUGUUGGCACCCAGGCCACACAUAUCUGCCACAUUAAUAGGAAAGCCCAAAAUAUUAGCCAACAUAAUCCAGAGCUGCAUCUUCAAAGAAUGAUGACUAUGGCCAGGAAAUGUAAAGAAGGUUCAAUGUUAAGAACUCUCUUAAUUUGCUAUUUUAAGAGACCAAAAGAGGAUAAUCAUACAGUCAUCUCCAUAGAUGUUAAAAAGAUAAAAAGAGGGGUUAUAUGAUUUUACAACAGGAAUUUGCUUUUAGUCUACUAUCAACACCAAAAUCAAAUUACCGCUCUGAUCAUUACAUCACUUUCUCUAACAUCAUAAUCACUUAUAUGCACAUAAUGCACCACUUGAUUAGGGCGAUGACACUCCAAUUUCUUUAAUAAUUCAUGUGUUUUAUGAGGUAAUGCUGCAGGUCAGCCCCUCUAGUUGCCCACGACAGCUCGGCCCAAAGACGCUGUGGCUCCUGUUGUUCCCAUUUAAAAUACGUAAUUGAAUAAUGACUUUAGAGUUGGAAUUUUAAGUAGAGCUCUUACUAGGUUUAUCUAUUGUUUAUAUAUUGGAACACUUACGGGAAACUUAGUUUCUCUGAUUUCAUAGGUUUACUCUGUUAAAUAGAAUUAUUUAUUAUUUGUGAAGGGUUUAUUUAUUAAGACUUUGUGUUUUCUUCCUCCCAAAUCUCCUUUCCCUCUCUUCCUUAUUUUGGUAAAUGGCAAUUCUUUCCUUCCUAUUCUUCAAGCCAAACACCUUUGUGUCCUCCUUGACUCCUCUGUUUCCUUCAUGCCCCACAUUAACUCCAUCAGCAAAUCCUCAGCUCUAUGUUCAACAAGAACCUGAAUGUGACCAGGUCAUUGCACCUCCACUGUUACUGCACUUGUCAAACCCUCCAUUACCACUCUCCUGGAUUAUUCUAAUAGGCUCCUAACUAGGCUUUCUACUUCUUCCUUACUCUACGCAGUCACUUCUUGUACACAUCUUUUGUUGAACAUCUGUACACAUUUCUGUCAGCUAAAGAACUUGCUGGGUCACAAGUCAAGGUGAUGUCCAAAGACUACAAAAGCAUGAGUUGAAACCCUCCAAAAAUGUACCCUCCUUCUGUCCCCUAGCGCAAGCUCCCUGCCUAAGGAGAGGGAGUGAGAGCACUCUGUUCCUUCUUCUCCAUCACUUGGGAGAAGGGGCUGUGAAGAAAGGGACAUGGUGCCCUCUUUUUCCUGUGGGUCUCAGGAUCCCUCUAGCUGGGAAGAAAAAAGAUUUUUAAAAAGUUUGUGUUCUGUCGUACAAAGAAACAGAAGGAAACUUGAACUUUAAAUUAUCCCAUCUGUCACUUUCCAUUGAUUGAGUCUUGCUCAUUAAGAUAAAUUCCAAGCUAGAAUAUAAUUUUUUAUGUUUUGCCUUUUGAGCUCUCCAGAAUGUAUGCCUUUCAGCUACCUCGGUUUCUUUCUUUUUUUUUCAUUCUUUCUUUCUUUUGCUCUCCCCCCCCCCCCAUAUUGCCAGCUGCCAAGGAGGAAUGGGGCACUCUAUCUCAUGGUGUUUCCCUUCUUAUUUGAGUUCUUCUGCAGUUCAACACCUGACAUCCACCUGCAGAGAUGCCCAAGCAAAGUCAGACACCCCCUUUUCUCUCUCUUGCGUGCCGUGUUGGUACAAGAAGGGUGUGCGGCUUCUCUGGGACAGAAGAGAACCCAAAUUGAGCUCUACUGUUAACUAGCUGUGGGAUCCUGGAGGAGUCGUUUACCCUGAUUCUUAGCUUCCACGUCUGUUGAAGGGGAGAUGCUCAUGAAGAGGACAGGAUGGCUAGGUUUUGGUAUCAAGCUUAUGCUGGCCUCAUCAAUGAGGUGAGGAGUGCUCCCUCCUACUCUACUUCCUGAAAGAGAUUAUGUCUAUUGGAAUCAACCAAUCCUUCACUGUUUGGCAGAACUUACUUAUAAAACCAUCUGAGCUUGUUUACUUUAUCAGAAAUUUUUUAACUAACUGACUCAAUGAUUAGAAGACUAUUAAAGCUUUCUGUUUAUUUCUUGACCUAUUUGAUAAAUUAGAUUUUUCUAGGGAAGUGUUUAUUUUAUCUGAAUAAAUAUAUUCAUCCAGCAAAAAUGAAUUGAAUAGC